AUUACGAUUUUGAAAAAAAAUCUCGUAAGUUUAUUAAGCACUCUUAAAGUGUCGAUGGUAGGACUAUAUGCAUGUGAAAUCUAUUUUAUUUUUAAUCAUUUAGUAGCUGGGCUCUCUAAAGCAUUAUCUAGCAGUAUAUUUGUUUUGAGCUUCAGCUAGUACUAGGGUUCUUGCUAAUCAGAAGAUCAUGCACACUUUUAUAAGCACUAACUACCAGGACUUCGUACUUAAAUGUGCUUAUUUGAAAUUGUCAAUUCACAUUUGAGAAACAUAUUAUACUGGGUAUUUCAAGUAGGUAUCUACACUUUGGGUAAAAGCUGGGUGGUAUUGCUCAUUUUUUAGACAUUAUUAGAUACUUGGUAAUAUAUAGUGCAUACAGAUAAGUAUAUUUAUAUAUACUUAUAAAUGGAUUGUUCUCUCGCUUGGUUAAUCACUCUCUAUAAGCUAAUUUAUGGUUGGUAACCCAUAUAGUUCAUACUAUUUUGUCCAUUACUUGUAUAUAAAAUCAAACUUGGGUUGUGGUUGGUUAUAUAAUGGUGUAGCCUAUGAGAGGAACCAAGAAUUUACGAGGUAGGUGUGCUGGCAAUCGCAUAGCAGCUCGUGGUAGAGGAGCAGAAACACAGCCUCAAGCACACAUUUUAAGAGACGAGACAAUUUCAUUUUCAGAUGCCUCCACUCAAGGACCGAGUGAGAUCCAUGAGGAGGUGACAAUUCCAACUAAUGAGGCUUCAAUGUCUAACAUUGAUGUCUUUGCAACUCCACCCGAAAAAAAAGUGGAUAGGGACCAGCUAGAAGCAUAUAAUUUGACUGCAUUCACAAAUUUGGCAAAAUAGUAGUGGAAAUUAAGGAUGGCCAAAGAAGAGUAUCAGGCCAGAAUGUGACGAUGUUUUCAACACACGUGACUUGGAUUGUGAAACUUUAUGCAGACAUGCGACAUGCAAGUUGGAGUCGUGUUGAUAAACAAAACAAGGAUGAGCUAACGGAUCGUGUAUGAGCUAAUUUUGUAUUAGAUUGGACCAAAAGCAACCAUCGAGAGAUAGUGGCAAUGACACUUGCUCAAAAAUAUAAUGAUUAUCACUACCUACUGGACUACAAGUACCUUGAGUAUGAUACACAUGAAGCUGCAAUUUCUGGUGGGACAAACUUGGUGGACAAAGCCGUUUGGCAAUGUUUGUGUGAGAGAUGGGGGAGUGAAGAAUUUAAGAACCUAUCAAGGCGGAACAAACAUAAUAGGUCCAAUCAAAGGAUAAAUCACAUGGGUGGCAGGAAGUCUUUUGUUAGGCUAAUGGAGGAAAAGUGGGAACAAGCUUCGAAUUAUGUUACUUUUUAUAAAGAGGUGCAUUGGUCUA
Molecule: long non-coding RNA, 1349 nt
Organism: Juglans microcarpa x Juglans regia
Lineage: Eukaryota; Viridiplantae; Streptophyta; Magnoliopsida; Fagales; Juglandaceae
Exons: 5
Source: RefSeq, a predicted model, not a curated record